GAUGGGGCAAGCCAUGGGACUGGAAGGCAGCAGGCAGAUGUCAGGGUUGGGGAUUACUGGCUCAGAAGCAGGAAAUCUCAUGUAGAAGCCCAGAACUUUCAAGAGAUAAGAAGUAGAGAGAUUCUGGUUUAAAGAGAGAUGACAGAAGCCCUGAAUGUCCUCUCUUCUGCUCCCCCAGAUACCUUCAUGGACUACAGGGCUGUACAUACGACUGUUGAAGUUUAUAACUAAAAAUAAACCAAUAGGAAAGCUAGCCAUGCCAUAGUGGCUACAUGCAUGGGAUGUGAAGCCACACUUCCUGAGUUUGAAUCCCAGCUCUGCCUCAUCUUAAAAGUGUGAUCAUAGAGAGUGUGCCAACAUCAUUCUAAAUGAUUGGGAUACAUGAGUGGGAGUGAGUGAAGUGGACAAUGGCAGCAUUUUAGAAAAGGAUUAAGGUUUCUUUUUCUCCCCAGGGUCAUGGGAUACAUGAACUUCAGGCUUAAUCUCUGUGUGAGAAAAACAGCAUGAAGAUAAUCAACUCUAUGUCAGAAGAAAUUGGCAACACUACUAACCACGAGUAAUGCACACCGAAGGAGGACCCGGGGAAGAACCAAGAGAAGACAAGAACUGAAGUUCUUCCAUUCCCACCUCUGCAUCACCUUCCCUGCUUUCUCUUUCCCCAGAAGAGACUCAGUCAACAUCCCAAAGACCAAUGAUUUCAUUGUUUUACACCAAAUAUCCCUCCUCUAAAUUUUUCAAGAAAUUGGGAAUAAACUUCUUACGCAAGAAAAUUUGGGGAGCAAAAGCAAGUAACCAGCCUAGAUGAGCACAUCCAACCUCUCUCCUCUUGAUUCUCACAUGUAUUACCCAGGGUCCUGUUUCUGCAGAAAGGAGGGAACCCUUGAGAACAUUUUCACUAUGUCACUUUAGCAGCCUAACUCUGUGGUACCCCUGAUUUAGGGAGGGUGAGGGGGUGGUGAAGACUGCAACCCCAAUAGAAGCAGGGAAGGUGACAUAGAGGUGAGAAUGGAAGGACUUCAGUUCUUGGCUUCUCUUGGUUUCUGCCCUGGGUCUUUCUGGCACUAUCUUUCCCUAAAGUAUUUCAUCUAAUUCCUCAAACAUCCCUGGAUAGCCUAUAUCAUAAAGUCCUUUAUGAUCUCUGUUUUACCUGGAAAGAAAGUGAGAUGCAAAGAAGUUUAGUAACUUGCUGAGACCACAGAACCAGACAGAGGUUGUGCUGAGACCCACCCAGAGCACCAGGCUCUUCAUCACAACCUCUUUUUGUAAUUUCCCACACAGUCUUCUUAAUGGCAUCAGGGGUGCACAUGUGUGUUCUCCCUGACCAUUAAACCCUCACUGGCAUUAACUGGACAAAUAGGAAGUUUAAAGAGGGUAUUUAACACCCCAUUCAUCUAGUCUCCCUGCCUGAGCUGCUCCCCCAUCCUAGAAUGUGCUUUUAUCUCCUGUGAUAACCAAAGACCCACUGGAUCCUCCCUGCCCCCUCUCUCACCAUAAGGGCCUCAAUGCAAGUUAAUGUCUCCAUUUUCCACAUUCCUAUUAUGUUUAUAGAUGGUUCUGUACAAUUUCAUGUUUUACAGACUUGUUCAACCAUUGAUAUAAUAACAACCAUGAAAACAAA
Molecule: long non-coding RNA, 1618 nt
Filed under: Homo sapiens (human)
Lineage: Eukaryota; Metazoa; Chordata; Mammalia; Primates; Hominidae
Description: PREDICTED lncRNA (TCONS_00032721)
Source: RNAcentral